GCCAUCACAGUGUAUGUUCACUUUAAGUACACAAGUCUGAGACUUGAGCAUUUCUUGUUUAUUCAUUCUGUCAGCAGAUGCAGACUAACAAUAAAGAAAGAUUGGAGUUGUUCUUGUUGUAGUAUAGUAGUAGUAGUUGAAAAUAUGAGGUUUGAAUGUAGGUUAGGCACUUAAAGAAAGGAGUAGCUGAGAUUUGAAGAGGAAGAGGGAAGGAAGGCGGUGUGGUGUAAAAUAUUG
This 237-nucleotide unclassified non-coding RNA is filed under the name Hevea brasiliensis (rubber tree). The record is from RNAcentral. Lineage: Eukaryota; Viridiplantae; Streptophyta; Magnoliopsida; Malpighiales; Euphorbiaceae.